This 28-nucleotide small RNA is filed under the name Bombyx mori (domestic silkworm). RNAcentral describes it as "ovarian small RNA-27135". Lineage: Eukaryota; Metazoa; Arthropoda; Insecta; Lepidoptera; Bombycidae. The record is from RNAcentral.
UCCCAAGCCUGAAAAAUAUUGUUAAUAA